This is an unclassified non-coding RNA of Cricetulus griseus (Chinese hamster), 287 nucleotides long. Its record names the gene 7SK. It matches the Rfam family "7SK RNA". Rfam says of the family: 7SK was discovered as an abundant small nuclear RNA in the mid-70s but a possible function has only recently been suggested. Two independent studies have found that 7SK RNA binds the CDK9/cyclin T complex (known as elongation factor P-TEFb). The record is from Ensembl. NCBI's taxonomy places the organism in Eukaryota, Metazoa, Chordata, Mammalia, Rodentia, Cricetidae.
GUAAGUGUCUUCAUUGGGCUGUGACAUCCCAUUGAUUAGCAGGGUUGAUUUGGUCAAUCUGGCUACACAAAUGUCCCCUUCCUCCAUCUCUGUUCCAUAUGUGUAUCUCCCCAAGAUGUGGGGUUGAUCGAAGAUGACUGCCUUCCCAGAUAGGGGAGGAUGGAUCUUCAUUCAAGGAUAUAGGAAUAACUACACUCUCCUGUUAGAACCUUCAAUCAAUCUCUCAAAAUUUUGAUUACUACUUAAACAUAUACUUUAGGGGGGCAAUUUGAUACCACUCUUAUAGG